This 441-nucleotide ribosomal RNA is filed under the name uncultured bacterium. RNAcentral describes it as "partial 16S ribosomal RNA". It matches the Rfam family "Bacterial small subunit ribosomal RNA", at positions 340 to 795 of the family's 1533-position model. The record is from RNAcentral.
CCCGGGUGGCAGCAGUUAGGAAUAUUGGGCAAUGGAGGAAACUCUGACCCAGCAACGCCGCGUGAAGGAAGAAGGUUUUCGGAUUGUAAACUUCUGAUCUGUGGGAAGAAGAAAGUGACGGUACCUUAGGAAUAAGCCUCGGCUAACUACGUGCCAGCAGCCGCGGUAAUACGUAGGAGGCGAGCGUUAUCCGGAAUGACUGGGCGUAAAGGGUGCGUAGGUGGUUUGACAAGUUGGUAGCGUAACUCCGAGGCUCAACCUCGGCACUACUACCAAAACUGUCGGACUUGAGUGCAGGAGGGGCAAUUGGAAUUCCUAGUGUAGCGGUGGAAUGCGCAGAUAUUAGGAGGAACACCGGUGGCGAAGGCGAAUUGCUGGACUGUAACUGACACUGAGGCACGAAAGCGUGGGGAGCAAACAGGAUUAGAUACCCGUGUAGUC